GGGGAUGUAGCUCAGUGGUAGAUCAUGCAGAAGGUCUCAGGUUCAAUCCACAGCAUCUCCA
This 61-nucleotide transfer RNA is filed under the name Podarcis lilfordi (Lilford's wall lizard). RNAcentral describes it as "tRNA.Undet". The record is from RNAcentral. Lineage: Eukaryota; Metazoa; Chordata; Lepidosauria; Squamata; Lacertidae.